RNAcentral lists this ribosomal RNA (655 nucleotides) under Fusarium oxysporum. Its description in RNAcentral is "SSU rRNA". It matches the Rfam family "Bacterial small subunit ribosomal RNA", at positions 314 to 929 of the family's 1533-position model. Lineage: Eukaryota; Fungi; Ascomycota; Sordariomycetes; Hypocreales; Nectriaceae. The record is from RNAcentral.
UGGCACUUGGAGAGUGGCAAGUCUUCCAGUAUGGGGAGCAAAACAGCUAUGGGUCAAGUCCGAUAUCUUUAGGAGAAGUCUUAUUGUGAGGGCGAGUUAUAUAACACCAUAGGACUGGCCGUCCCAUAUGAAAAGAUUAUAUUAGAAUUGAAUGAAGCUUUGUUUAUAUAUUGAUAAUGACAGUAUAUAUAUCGUGUCUUGACUAAUUGCGUGCCAGCAGUCGCGGUAAUACGUAAGAGACUAGUGUUAUUCAUCUUAAUUAGGUUUAAAGGGUACCCAGACGGUCAAUAUAGCUUAUAAAAUGUUAGUACUUGACUAGAGUUUUAUGUAAGAGGGCAGUACUUGAGGAGGAGAGAUGAAAUUUCGUGAUACCAAAGGGACUCUGUAAAGGCGAAGGCAGCCCUCUAUGUAAAAACUGACGUUGAAGGACGAAGGCACAGAGAACAAACAGGAUUAGAUACCCAAGUAGUCUUUGCAGUAAAUGAUGAAUGCCAUAGGUUAGAUUGAUCAAUUAUAGUCUAGGGUUAGUCUAGCAAACUAAUGCCCUAUGAUAUAAUUCAAAAUAUCUGGUCUAUAAAUGAAAGUGUAAGCAUUUCACCUCAAGAGUAAUGUGGCAACGCAGGAACUGAAAUCACUAGACCGUUUCUGACACCAG